GAUGAACGCUGGCGGCGUGCCUAACACAUGCAAGUCGAGCGAGUGAGUUCUUCGGAACGAUCUAGCGGCGGACGGGUGAGUAACACGUGGGCAACCUGCCUCAUAGAGGGGAAUAGCCUCCCGAAAGGGAGAUUAAUACCGCAUAAAAUUAUCGAGUGGCAUCACAUGACAAUCAAAGGAGUAAUCCGCUAUGAGAUGGGCCCGCGGCGCAUUAGCUAGUUGGUGAGGUAACGGCUAACCAAGGCGACGAUGCGUAGCCGACCUGAGAAGGUGAUCGGCCACAUUGGGACUGAGACACGGCCCAGACUCCUACGGGAGGCAGCAGUGGGGAAUAUUGCACAAUGGGGGAAACCCUGAUGCAGCAACGCCGCGUGAGUGAUGAAGGUCUUCGGAUUGUAAAGCUCUGUCUUUGGGGACGAUAAUGACGGUACCCAAGGAGGAAGCCACGGCUAACUACGUGCCAGCCGCCGCGGUAA
This 476-nucleotide ribosomal RNA is filed under the name uncultured bacterium. RNAcentral's name for it is "partial 16S ribosomal RNA". It matches the Rfam family "Bacterial small subunit ribosomal RNA", at positions 28 to 523 of the family's 1533-position model. The record is from RNAcentral.